UGAUGACGAGACGCUAAGGCGUUGAAGCAGUGUAUGUCAGACUUCCAAGAAAAGCUCGCAAUGUCACAAAUAAAAAGUGCCUGUACCAUAACCGACACAGGUGGGUAGGUAGAGUAUACUAAGGGGCGCGAGAUAACUCUCUCUAAGGAACUCGGCAAAAUGACUCCGUAACUUCGGGAGAAGGAGUGCCUUAUUUAUAAGGUUGCAAUAACAAGAUCCAAGCAACUGUUUAUCAAAAACACAGGUCUCCGCUAAGUCGUAAGACGAUGUAUGGGGGCUGACGCCUGCCCAGUGCCAGAAGGUUAAAGAAGUUGGUUAGUGUAUGCGAAGCUGAUGACUGAAGCCCUGGUGAACGGCGGCCGUAACAAUAACGGUCCUAAGGUAGCGAAAUUCCUUGUCGGGUAAGUUCCGACCCGCACGAAAGGCGUAAUGAUUUGGAUACUGUCUCGGAGAGAGGCUCGGUGAAAUAGACUUGUCUGUGAAGAUGCGGACUACCUGCACCAGGACAGAAAGACCCUAUGAAGCUUUACUGUAACUUGAAAUUGGAAUUGGACUUUGCUUGCGCAGUAUAGGUGGGAAGCGUUGAAAAUAUUCUUGCGGGAGUAUUGGAGCUAUCAGUGAGAUACCACUCUUGUAAUGUUAGAUUUCUAACUUUGAACCAUAAUCUGGUCAAAGAACAGUUUCAGGUGGGCAGUUUGACUGGGGCGGUCGCCUCCCAAAUGGUAACGGAGGCGUACAAAGGUUUCCUCUGAACGGAUAGAAAUCGUAUCUAGAGUGUAAAGGCAUAAGGAAGCUUGACUGUGAGACCUACAAGUCGAGCAGGGACGAAAGUCGGUCUUAGUGAUCUGACGGUACUGAGUGGAAAGGCCGUCACUCAACGGAUAAAAGUUACUCUAGGAUAACAGGCUGAUCUCCCCCAAGAGUUCACAUCGACGGGGAGGUUUGGCACCUCGAUGUCGGCUCAUCGCAUCCUGGGGCGGUAGUACGUCCCAAGGGUUGGGCUGUUCGCCCAUGAAAGCGGUACGCGAGCUGGGUUCAGAACGUCGUGAGACAGUUCGGUCCAUAUCCGGUGUAGGCGCUAGAAUAUUGAGAGGAGCCUUCUUUAGUACGAGAGGACCGAGAAGGACACACCGCUGGUGUACCAGUUAUCGUGCCAACGGUAAACGCUGGGUAGCUAUGUGUGGAGUGGAUAACCGCUGAAAGCAUCUAAGUGGGAAGCCCACCUCGAGAUGAGUAUUCAC
Molecule: ribosomal RNA, 1241 nt
Filed under: metagenome
Description: bacterial LSU rRNA
Rfam family: Bacterial large subunit ribosomal RNA
Source: RNAcentral